GCAUUGUUGACGACUCCCAAAUAGGACGAAACAGCUGUCCAGUGC
Molecule: non-coding RNA, 45 nt
Filed under: Echinostoma caproni
Lineage: Eukaryota; Metazoa; Platyhelminthes; Trematoda; Plagiorchiida; Echinostomatidae
Source: RNAcentral